GAUUAACGCUGGCGGCAUGCCUAAUACAUGCAAGUCGAAUGGAAGAGCUUGCUUUUCCAUGGCGAACGGGUGAGUAACACGUAGGUAACCUACCUUAAGGACGAGGAUAACCUUUGGAAACGAAGGAUAAUACUGGAUAGGACAUUAUAAAGCACAUGCUUAAAUGUUUAAAGGAGCAAUCCACCAUAAGAGGGGCCUGCGGCGCAUUAGCUAGUUGGUGAGAUAAAGGCCCACCAAGGCGAUGAUGCGUAGCUGGACUGAGAGGUUGAACAGCCACAAUGGGACUGAGAACGGCCCAUACUCC
RNAcentral lists this ribosomal RNA (304 nucleotides) under uncultured Anaeroplasma sp. RNAcentral describes it as "bacterial SSU rRNA". It matches the Rfam family "Bacterial small subunit ribosomal RNA", at positions 28 to 339 of the family's 1533-position model. The record is from RNAcentral. Lineage: Bacteria; Bacillati; Mycoplasmatota; Mollicutes; Anaeroplasmatales; Anaeroplasmataceae.